Molecule: unclassified non-coding RNA, 162 nt
Filed under: Ophiognomonia acadiensis
Lineage: Eukaryota; Fungi; Ascomycota; Sordariomycetes; Diaporthales; Gnomoniaceae
Description: partial internal transcribed spacer 2
Source: RNAcentral
CAACCCUCAAAAAUCUUGUAUUUUUGGUGUUGGAGGAAUACCUGUAACAGGGUACCCUCUGAAAUUUAGUGGCGGGCUCGCUAGAAUUUUGAGCGUAGUAAUUAUACCUCGUUUUUAAAGACUAGUGGGACUUCUUGCCGUAAAACCCCCCAACUUUCUGAA